UAACUUACGGGCACGGAGGGUGAUCAGCCUCGUUGUACCCGGUAUUGAUCAAUACUACAUAACUUGAACGAAUUCAUCGCUCACUCAAUCCGCCUUGCGCAAAAAUCUUCCCAUAUAGGGAUGUUCAUACAUGCCUGGUUCCAAACCCGAAGGUUUUUAAUCUUGCUCAACAAUAAUAUGUAAUUCAACAUAUAUAUACGGGUAAUUGACAAAGGUGUAUCAACAUGUGAACAAAUGUCAUGAUUAUCCAAGUGGGGACACUUGUAUAACCAUUUAGAAAUCAACUUAACAGAAUAUAUAUCUGAGCUAACAUGUUGAUAAUUAAUGCGUACAUAAUCUGUACAGGAAUAUAAUAAUUCUGAAACUUCUUACUCAUGUCCAUUGCAUAAAGAAAAUGCAAAGGUAGGAUACUUGCCUGAUUCGCUGAUUACAAAUCUCAACUUAGGUUUUAUCUCUUUAUCACAACCUAUCAAUAAUCAGAUCAUUCGUUCGAUUAGAACAAUAUAUCUUAACACAUAGUACUGUCUAUUACAGUCAGCACAUAGUC
Molecule: long non-coding RNA, 547 nt
Filed under: Panax ginseng (ginseng)
Lineage: Eukaryota; Viridiplantae; Streptophyta; Magnoliopsida; Apiales; Araliaceae
Description: long non-coding RNA (PGIN_LNC002853)
Source: RNAcentral